GGCUUAUUUGGUUUGAUACCAAUUUACUACCCUACCAAAAUUUUGGCAACUUCAAUAGUAGCAAGUGGAUGUUUGGUUUGCUACCAAAUUUUACCCACCAUAGUUCAAAUUGAAUACUACCAAAUUUGGUAGUGCCAAAAUUUGCCAAUGUUUUGGUACUAUCAAGAUUUUGGUAGGGCAAAAAUUGGCUCCAAACCAAACAAGCCCUAU
Molecule: unclassified non-coding RNA, 210 nt
Filed under: Oryza sativa (Asian cultivated rice)
Lineage: Eukaryota; Viridiplantae; Streptophyta; Magnoliopsida; Poales; Poaceae
Description: partial microRNA MIR478c-15 precursor
Source: RNAcentral